This 460-nucleotide ribosomal RNA is filed under the name uncultured bacterium. RNAcentral's name for it is "partial 16S ribosomal RNA". It matches the Rfam family "Bacterial small subunit ribosomal RNA", at positions 338 to 795 of the family's 1533-position model. The record is from RNAcentral.
CCUACGGGAGGCAGCAGUGAGGAAUAUUGGUCAAUGGGCGCGAGCCUGAACCAGCCAAGUAGCGUGAAGGAUGACUGUCCUAUGGGUUGUAAACCUCUUUUAUAAAGGAAUAAAGUGAGGCACGUGUGCUUUUUUGUAUGUACUUUAUGAAUAAGGAUCGGCUAACUCCGUGCCAGCAGCCGCGGUAAUACGGAGGAUCCGAGCGUUAUCCGGAUUUAUUGGGUUUAAAGGGCGCGUAGGUGGGUUGUUAAGUCAGUUGUGAAAGUUUGCGGCUCAACCGUAAAAUUGCAAUUGAAACUGGCAGUCUUGAGUACAUUUGAGGUAGGCGGAAUUCGUGGUGUAGCGGUGAAAUGCUUAGAUAUCACGAAGAACUCCGAUUGCGAAGGCAGCUUACUAAGCUGCCACUGACGUUGAUGCACGAAAGUGUGGGUAUCAAACAGGAUUAGAUACCCUUGUAGUC